RNAcentral lists this ribosomal RNA (407 nucleotides) under uncultured bacterium. Its description in RNAcentral is "partial 16S ribosomal RNA". It matches the Rfam family "Bacterial small subunit ribosomal RNA", at positions 30 to 526 of the family's 1533-position model. The record is from RNAcentral.
AUUGAACGCUGGCGGCAGGCCUAACACAUGCAAGUCGAGCGGAGCGGCGGAAGGGUGAGUAAUGCCUAGGAAUCUGCCUGGGAGUGGGGGAUAACUCCCGGAAACGUGCGCCAAUACCGCAUUCUAUCAGAUGAGCCUAGGUCGGAUUAGCUAGGUGGUGGGGUAAAGGCCUACCAAGGCGACGAUCCGUAACUGGUCUGAGAGGAUGAUCAGUCACACUGGAACUGAGACACGGUCCAGACUCCUACGGGAGGCAGCAGUGGGGAAUAUUGGACAAUGGGCGAAAGCCUGAUCCAGCCAUGCCGCGUGUGUGAAGAAGGUCUUCGGAUUGUAAAGCACUUUAAGUUGGGAGGCGUUACCAACAGAAUAAGCACCGGCUAACUUCGUGCCAGCAGCCGCGGUAAUUC